AUUGAACGCUGGCGGCAGGCUUAACACAUGCAAGUCGAGCGGGGAAGGGUAGCUUGCUACCUGACCUAGCGGCGGACGGGUGAGUAAUGCUUAGGAAUCUGCCUAUUAGUGGGGGACAACAUUCCGAAAGGAAUGCUAAUACCGCAUACGCCCUACGGGGGAAAGCAGGGGAUCUUCGGACCUUGCGCUAAUAGAUGAGCCUAAGUCAGAUUAGCUAGUUGGUGGGGUAAAGGCCUACCAAGGCGACGAUCUGUAGCGGGUCUGAGAGGAUGAUCCGCCACACUGGGACUGAGACACGGCCCAGACUCCUACGGGAGGCAGCAGUGGGGAAUAUUGGGCAAUGGGCGCAAGCCUGAUCCAGCCAUGCCGCGUGUGUGAAGAAGGCCUUUUGGUUGCAAAGCACUUUAAGCGAGGAGGAGGCUACUUGGAUUAAUACUCUAGGAUAGUGGACGUUACUCGCAGAAUAAGCACCGGCUAACUCUGUGCCAGCAGCCGCGGUAAUACAGAGGGUGCGAGCGUUAAUCGGAUUUACUGGGCGUAAAGCGUGCGUAGGCGGCUUUUUAAGUCGGAUGUGAAAUUCCUGAGCUUAACUUAGGAAUUGCAUUCGAUACUGGGAAGCUAGAGUAUGGGAGAGGAUGGUAGAAUUCCAGGUGUAGCGGUGAAAUGCGUAGAGAUCUGGAGGAAUACCGAUGGCGAAGGCAGCCAUCUGGCCUAAUACUGACGCUGAGGUACGAAAGCAUGGGGAGCAAACAGG
This 754-nucleotide ribosomal RNA is filed under the name uncultured Acinetobacter sp. RNAcentral describes it as "bacterial SSU rRNA". It matches the Rfam family "Bacterial small subunit ribosomal RNA", at positions 28 to 776 of the family's 1533-position model. Lineage: Bacteria; Pseudomonadati; Pseudomonadota; Gammaproteobacteria; Moraxellales; Moraxellaceae. The record is from RNAcentral.